Molecule: ribosomal RNA, 253 nt
Filed under: uncultured bacterium
Lineage: Bacteria
Description: partial 16S ribosomal RNA
Rfam family: Bacterial small subunit ribosomal RNA
Source: RNAcentral
UACGUAGGGUGCAAGCGUUGUCCGGAAUUAUUGGGCGUAAAGAGCUCGUAGGCGGUCUGUCGCGUCUGCUGUGAAAAUCCAGGGCUCAACCCUGGACCUGCAGUGGAUACGGGCAGACUAGAGUGCGGGAGGGGAGAAUGGAAUUCCCGGUGUAGCGGUGAAAUGCGCAGAUAUCGGGAGGAACACCGGUGGCGAAGGCGGUUCUCUGGGCCUUUCCUGACGCUGAGGAGCGAAAGCGUGGGGAGCGAACAGG